GACAAUAUUGUAAUCAUACUUAAGACACUAAUUAUUCAUAAAAAAGUGUUUCAAGCCAACCCAAUCCGACCUGUUUUUGCUCGGUAUUCGGGCCUUCUACAUCUACAUGUUCGUUUUUCCAUUGUGGCUUUUUAUUGUAUUCAUGUAUGUUAGUUCAAAUCUGUAACAAUCCUCAGCCCUCGUGGAGCUAACUGAAGCUGAAACAUAAUAUGCAGUAAAUGAUAUGAAGCAGUUACGGGAUAUAUGCUUCUGAAGCGGAACCAAGUCAUCGAAUGCCCUUCCAUAUGAUACAUCUGGUCAAACCUUAUGGCACUUGAGAAACCAUAAGGGGCCCCACCUAAGCUGUUGGCAGAUUUUCUAACGCCUUGAAGUUUAUCGUCGAAGAGGUAAUAAUUCUCAUCUCAUGUUAUUACAGAGUACUAGAGUCGGCAAAUUUGACCCAAACUAUUCGAUCGGUUGAUUUAGGUUACAUUUGCCAAAUGGUCCAAUUGGUAUUUUUAGUAUGUAAAAUGUUCUAAAACGUUUUUCUUAAUAAAAUUAGGGUAUUAAUUGAGAUAAUAUAAAUGCUGUAAUCGUAUUGGACAAAGUGGUUCAUUUCGAUCUUGUUACCUGACUUGUCCGACGUGCCAAUUUCCACCUUUGUUAAUAUCAUACCAUGACUUCCGUUGAACUCCUACAUGACUGUAUAAGUCCCUAGACUUCAUUUUAACAUGAUUAUUUCCAUCUAAAAAAAUCUCUGGACUUUAUUUUUUUAACAAAUUUAUUCUUUUUUUUUGCGUGUUGAAGUCUAUAAACCAUAGUUAUUAAAGGCGCGAAGCGCACUCUAGGCGCAUAGGCUCCGAUUAGGGCCUAGGCGAUAGGCGCAAAAAAAGCGUGGGCCCGAGAAAAAAAAAGCGCAAUUAAAUAAAAAAAUUAAAAAGUUUAUUAAGGGAAUAAAGUACUCAAAACCAAAACAAUAAUGUUCAUACUAGCACUUAAAAGGUCUCAGAUAACAAAAUACUUAAAACCAAAAUGUUUAUAGCACUUAAAAAGUAUAAGAUAACAAAAUACUUGGAAACCAAAUCAGAAAUAAUAAGCUGAUAAU
This 1084-nucleotide long non-coding RNA is filed under the name Helianthus annuus (common sunflower). Its description in RNAcentral is "hypothetical non coding rna". Lineage: Eukaryota; Viridiplantae; Streptophyta; Magnoliopsida; Asterales; Asteraceae. The record is from RNAcentral.